CGUUUCGCCAUCUCAUAAAAUUGCCAUCUUUGGCACUUGCAGAUACAAAAAUACAAAAACAAAAACUCACAACACCAAGUUCCUAUCAUCGCGCCCUAUAACUUGGCGCUGAGGCUGACUGACUCUCUGAUGGACUGGGAAGACUAUACCGCCUGCCGAUUGGGACAGAGACGGGGACGACCAACAACGACGACGAUGACGACGACGCUUUGGCUAGAAGAUUACAAGAUACACCAACGACCGACACGAUGAUGAUGGCGAUGGCAAUGGUGAAGGCGAAGGCGAUGACUGGGUACGUUCGUGAUCAUCGUUCCACAUGGUUACCUUGGCGUGGAAUGGUUUUGGUCGGGCCCAAUGAUUCCCAUUUGUAUCCCAUCGCAUCGCAUCGUCUAUGGUGUUAAGCGGAGGCGAUAUUUUUUAAGAAAUUGAAAGCCCCAGUCAUAUAAAAACAAAAUUAUUAUGUAAGUACGUAUACACCACACAGAACGAUGGGUAUUAUCCUUCUCAGAUGCUCUGGAUAUACAUAUACAAACAAGGACCUCGACAUUUCGACAAUGGAGCGCUGGGCGGCGGUGAAAAUACGGAACUCAUGGCAAAUGGCUCCUGAUGAUGGGACGAGCGACGACGCACGGAAGGACGAAGGAUGAAUAGUGCAAAAACCGAUUAGGGACAAAACGUGGAAGUCCCUUAAGCAUAGCCAUAGAUUGCAGGCUUUCAUUCUGGUAUCUUCUUUUAUUUUUUUCGUAUACUUUCUCUUAUUUCUACAUCAGCUGUAAAUAUGGAUACAAAAAUUACGCGGAAAAGUAUUUUCAUCAUUUUUGAUUACACAGCAAGGAUAAUAUAUUGUCGGACCAGUAAAUACCAUUUUGUAUAUUUUUGAAUAUACAGAAAAGGUGGAGAGACGCUAAGCAAACGAUGAAGAAGAAGAAGAUGAAGCAAACCGAGCACAGAUGAAUUUACUCAACAAUUUAUCAUACAUAAGAAUAUAAUAUUUAAUAUCAAUAAUUUGACAAUAUAUAAAAUACAUACCUACAUACAUAUAUAAAUAAAUAGUACAAAAUAUUAAUUUUCUUUUUGUUCACUAUUUCGUCGGCUUUUAAA
Molecule: long non-coding RNA, 1101 nt
Organism: Eupeodes corollae
Lineage: Eukaryota; Metazoa; Arthropoda; Insecta; Diptera; Syrphidae
Exons: 2
Source: RefSeq, a predicted model, not a curated record